Molecule: ribosomal RNA, 870 nt
Filed under: uncultured Alphaproteobacteria bacterium
Lineage: Bacteria; Pseudomonadati; Pseudomonadota; Alphaproteobacteria
Description: bacterial SSU rRNA
Rfam family: Bacterial small subunit ribosomal RNA
Source: RNAcentral
CCGCGGGAUUAGAGUUUGAUCCUGGCUCAGAGCGAACGCUGGCGGCAGGCUUAACACAUGCAAGUCGAGCGGGCGUAGCAAUACGUCAGCGGCAGACGGGUGAGUAACGCGUGGGAACAUACCUUUUGGUUCGGAACAACCCAGGGAAACUUGGGCUAAUACCGGAUAAGCCCUUACGGGGAAAGAUUUAUCGCCGAAAGAUUGGCCCGCGUCUGAUUAGCUAGUUGGUGAGGUAACGGCUCACCAAGGCGACGAUCAGUAGCUGGUCUGAGAGGAUGAUCAGCCACAUUGGGACUGAGACACGGCCCAAACUCCUACGGGAGGCAGCAGUGGGGAAUAUUGGACAAUGGGCGCAAGCCUGAUCCAGCCAUGCCGCGUGAGUGAUGAAGGCCCUAGGGUUGUAAAGCUCUUUUGUGCGGGAAGAUAAUGACGGUACCGCAAGAAUAAGCCCCGGCUAACUUCGUGCCAGCAGCCGCGGUAAUACGAAGGGGGCUAGCGUUGCUCGGAAUCACUGGGCGUAAAGGGUGCGUAGGCGGGUCUUUAAGUCAGGGGUGAAAUCAUGGAGCUCAACUCCAGAACUGCCUUUGAUACUGAGGAUCUUGAGUUCGGGAGAGGUGAGUGGAACUGCGAGUGUAGAGGUGAAAUUCGUAGAUAUUCGCAAGAACACCAGUGGCGAAGGCGGCUCACUGGCCCGAUACUGACGCUGAGGCACGAAAGCGUGGGGAGCAAACAGGAUUAGAUACCCUGGUAGUCAACGCCGUAAACGAUGAAUGCCAGCCGUUAGUGGGUUUACUCACUAGUGGCGCAGCUAACGCUUUAAGCAUUCCGCCUGGGGAGUACGGUCGCAAGAUUAAACUCAAAGGAAUUGAC